Molecule: long non-coding RNA, 697 nt
Organism: Wasmannia auropunctata (little fire ant)
Lineage: Eukaryota; Metazoa; Arthropoda; Insecta; Hymenoptera; Formicidae
Exons: 3
Source: RefSeq, a predicted model, not a curated record
UACUAUAUUGUCUCAUAAUUAACAUGAUUUACAGGGUAAAUUUAAAAAAAUUCUCUCCGUGUGCUUAUUCGUUAAUCUGAAAAUAGUUUGGCCGUCAUCGCUUUCGGAUGAUCUCGGAGAUCGCGGAGUUAACACACGAAUUGUCGAAUGAUCGCGCGCGAUUUAGUGUGACGGAAUACGCGAAUCGAUGUGAUUUAUUUUUUAACGGAAAUGUUGCAGCGGUGUGUCGAUUGCACUUGUAUCUCCGCGGUAUUUUAUUUAUGCUCGAAUUGAAUCGCGAGUGUGUCUCGAGCGUUACAUUUAGCGGAUGCAAGUUAUUCACUCGGUUCGGUUGGCCGUCGACUCGACUCGGCGUUAACUUUGCGUCUUAACUUCGAAAAUGGCAAAAUAUACCACGCGAUUGUUAUCCGCGUUUUCGCGCGUUUUAGUGUCUCACGUUGAGAAAGUUUUACGAAACUGACAAUUCAGAUAACCUGGCUGAGAGGAAGUGAAAGUGACGAUGCGGAGAUCGCACAUCGAAGGAAUCUAACGAAAUUGACAAUCCAGACAGCCUGAGAGGAGGUGAAGAGGUCUGGGAGAGGCAUCGGGCGCCAGCGGAACAAUCUUGCGAAUCGUCGUAGCUACGUGCAGGCCGAUUAACUCCGCUGUUGCGCAUCGGUUGGUGAGUGAAAAAAAAAUUUUGAUCAAUGAUUUUGAU